RNAcentral lists this ribosomal RNA (934 nucleotides) under uncultured Planctomycetota bacterium. RNAcentral's name for it is "bacterial SSU rRNA". It matches the Rfam family "Bacterial small subunit ribosomal RNA", at positions 128 to 1076 of the family's 1533-position model. Lineage: Bacteria; Pseudomonadati; Planctomycetota. The record is from RNAcentral.
CCCGACUUGUCGGGGCUUUGCGAAAGUGCCGGUAAUACCUGAUGACAUCACUGGACCGCAUGGUCCGGUGAUCAAAGGUCCGCAGGUCUGGGAGCGGCCUAUCUCCUAUCAGCUUGUUGGUGGGGUAACGGCCUACCAAGGCAUCGACAGGUACCAGGCGUGAGAGCGCGAUCUGGCACAUCGGGACUGAGACACUGCCCGGACAUCUACGGAUGGCUGCAGCAACGAAUAUUCCGCAAUGGGCGAAAGCCUGACGGAGCGACGCCGCGUGUAGGAUGAAGCACUUCGGUGUGUAAACUACUGUCANGGGUUAGGAAGAAAGUGACCAACCCCAAAGGAAGCCUCGGCUAACUCCGUGCCAGCAGCCGCGGUAAUACGGAGGAGGCAAGCGUUGUUCGGAAUUACUGGGCUUAAAGCGUGCGUAGGCGGGAUGGCAGGUGUCGUGUGAAAGCCCUCGGCUCAACCGAGGAAUUGUUCGGCAAACCGUCAUUCUUGAGGCCAGCAGGGGGACCUGGAACUUUGGGUGGAGCGGUGAAAUGCGUAGAUAUCCAAGGGAACGCCGGUGGCGAAAGCGGGGUCCUGGGCUGGUUCUGACGCUGAGGCACGAAAGCGUGGGUAGCAAACAGGAUUAGAUACCCUGGUAGUCCACGCCGUAAACGAUGCGCACUAGGUAUCAGCGCCUCUGACGGGGUUGGUGCCGUAGAGAAAUCAUUAAGUGCGCCGCCUGGGGAGUACGGCCGCAAGGCUAAAACUCAAAGGAAUUGACGGGGGCUCACACAAGCGGUGGAGCAUGUGGAUUAAUUCGAAGCAACGCGAAGAACCUUACCUGGGUUUGACAUGCUAGGAUGCACCCGUGAAAGCGGGCUAUGCUGCUCUUUGAGUGAAACUAGCACAGGUGCUGCACGGCUGUCGUCAGCUCGUGCUGUGAAGUGUC